AACUAUUCAUGUGUGAUAAUCUGAGCAGCUGGUUAUAGUGGAUAGUGGCAAAAAAAAGUAAAAAUCAGUUGUGAUUAUUUAUAAUUUUAAGUUGGUUCAGGUAUUUUCUAAACCUUGGUGGAUUAAGCAAAGACUUUCAGAGUAAUUUAUCCAUCCAAGAUCCAAAACAGGGAUUCCAAAUUUAUUGUUUCAAACAGGUUCAAAAUUAUAACAUUAUGAAGAAAAAUAGUAUGAAUGAUCAAAUUGAUCAUCGCUUACCAUUAUUACCAUCGAAUUUUGUUCAAACAAUUCUCACUUGUGUUAUCUUAUACACGUGUAUAAUGGCAACUGUUGAGUUCCUGAUAAAAGUUUGGCGAAGGAUGAGAUUCAAUCAAUCGAAAACAUCAUGUUUCAAGUAUGGGUAUUCCAAUACUAAAAAGAACGGUCCCAAAUAUUGGAGAGAAUUAUUUGCGUGCUGCGACGGUGCCAACCAGAGCCCAAUCAACAUUGACACGUGUGCAGCGACUUGUGUCUAUGCAUGCAAUCCACUCACUUGGUCCAACUUCGACAACAAACCACAAAAUAUGAUUAUGCUCAACACUGGCUCUACUGUAAUGUUGGCUGGCUGUUGGUAUUGGGACAAACCGCUGUCAAUAAGUGGCGGGCCGUUGGAGCAGAGAAGCUACUCUUUGAAGGAAGUGUACUUUCGUUGGGGCCGGGGUGAAGGCAGUGAACACACCAUUGAUAGUGUUCGCUUUCCAAUGGAAAUUCAAUUGAGGUUUAUCAACCAAACAAAUGGCGAUAAUGUGUUUAUUGCUCUGUUUUGUGAGAUUUCGCAUCAGGACAAUCCGAAUCUGGUUUGUUUAGUGAAUUCAUUGAAUGAGAUCAUUCUUCCCGGAACCUCGACCGAAAUCCCUUUCUCCUUCGACUGGCUGCAAUUGCCCUUCUGCCAUGGAUACUAUACCUACCCCGGUUCAUUCACUUUUCCACCAUGCUGUGAAAAUGUCACUUGGAUUGUCAAGCCACAGCCUAUCAAAAUUUCUCAUGCGCAGAUCUAUAUAAUUAUUAUAACUGUCCAAAACAAUCGUCCAUUGAAACUGACCUUGUGUCACACUGCGUUCUUAGAUGAGCAUCAUAAGAAACGAUGACUCGCCACACGAUUGUGAAACACUACUUGGUGUAUCAUAUCAAAUAGCAUUCAUUAAAUAAAAUUAUAUCAAAAAUCAUAUUGGUGAAUGAAUGUGAUGGGAACCUAAGUCUAGCUGAUUCAAGAUGGUUGUUCUUCUGGUUAAAAAAUUCCGAGAACUAAGAAAUAACCAUGGUCGUAUUCUAACAAAUUCAAGACCAGUACAAUCCCUCAAUUCAAGAACAGUUAUGUUCUAUGAGGAUUCAUCAGAAGCCGAUUGCAAUUGAAAU
This 1395-nucleotide unclassified non-coding RNA is filed under the name Nilaparvata lugens (brown planthopper). Its description in RNAcentral is "carbonic anhydrase 2, transcript variant X3". Lineage: Eukaryota; Metazoa; Arthropoda; Insecta; Hemiptera; Delphacidae. The record is from RNAcentral.